AGUAGUGUGGCUCAGUGGAAAGAGCCUGGGCUUCGGAGUCAGAGGUCAUGGGUUCGAUCCCCGGCUCUGCCA
RNAcentral lists this transfer RNA (72 nucleotides) under Ornithorhynchus anatinus (platypus). It matches the Rfam family "tRNA". Rfam says of the family: Transfer RNA (tRNA) molecules are approximately 80 nucleotides in length. Their secondary structure includes four short double-helical elements and three loops (D, anti-codon, and T loops). Lineage: Eukaryota; Metazoa; Chordata; Mammalia; Monotremata; Ornithorhynchidae. The record is from Rfam by way of RNAcentral.